Molecule: long non-coding RNA, 1154 nt
Filed under: Bos indicus x Bos taurus (hybrid cattle)
Lineage: Eukaryota; Metazoa; Chordata; Mammalia; Artiodactyla; Bovidae
Description: lncRNA (ENSBIXG00005021171.1)
Source: RNAcentral
GGUGUUUGUGUGCUGGUGUGUGUUCUGUUGUGAGUGCUGGUAUGUGUGUGCUGGUAUGUAUAUGUGCUGGUCUGUGUGUGCUGAUGUAUAUGCUGGUGUGUGUUCUGUUGUGUGUGCUGGUGUAUGUGUGCUGGUGUGUGUGCUGGUGUUUGUGCUGGUGUUUGUGUGCUGGUGUAUGUGUGUUGGUGUGUGUGUUGGUGUGUGUGCGUGCCAGUGUAUAUGUGUUGGUGUGUGUGCUGGUGUUUGUGUGUUGGUAUGUGUGCUGGUGUGUGUGCAUGCCAGUGUGUGUGUGUUGGUGUGUGUGCUGGUGUGUGUGUGUGCUGGUGUAUGUGUGCUGGUGUUUGUGUGUGUUUGUGUGUGUGUGCUGGUGUGUGUGUGUGUGUGUGCAUGCCAGUGUGUGUGUGUUGGUGUGUGCGGGCCGGUGUGUGUGUGUUGGUGUGUGUGUGCUGGUGUGUGUGUGUUGGUGUGUGUGUGCCGGUGUGUGUGUGCUGGUGUGUGUGUGCCGGUGUGUGUGUGUUGGUGUGUGUGCUGGUGUGUGUGUGUUGGUGUGUGUGUGCCGGUGUGUGUGUGUUGGUGUGUGUGCUGGUGUGUGUGUGUUGGUGUGUGUGUGCUGGUGUGUGUGUGCUGGUGUGUGUGUGUUGGUGUGUGUGUUUGUGUGUGUGCUGGUGUAUGUGUGUUGGUGUGUGUGUUGGUGUGUGUGUGCCGGUGUGUGUGUGUUGGUGUGUGUGCUGGUGUGUGUGCAUGCCAGUGUGUGUGUGUUGGUGUGUGUGCUGGUGUGUGUGUGUGCUGGUGUUUAUGUGUGUGUGUGUGUGUGUGUGUGUGUGUGCUGGUGUGUGUAUGUGUGUGUGUGUGUGCAUGCCAGUGUGUGUGUGUUGGUGUGUGCAUGCCAGUGUGUGUGUGUUGGUGUGUGUGUGCUGGUGUGUGUGUGUUGGUGUGUGUGUGCCGGUGUGUGUGUGUUGGUGUGUGUGCUGGUGUGUGUGUGUUGGUGUGUGUGUGUUGGUGUGUGUAUGCCGGUGUGUGUGUGUUGGUGUGUGUGCUGGUGCACGUGUGCUUGCUUACCUUUGUGCUGACACGGCACUGUGUCUUCCCCACGGCCCGGGGUGUCAGAGUUUCCUCUCUGUGCUUGCAGGGAUAGGGAGAAGCAAAAACUUCAA